AAAGUUAAGUCUACAUAAGCUUGGCAAAAUUUGUUAUAAGUUUCAUUAAAUUUAAAGCAUUUUGAAGUUUUUCAUAAUUUUGCUGUUUCCAUGGUAACGGCGGCCAUUUUGAAUAUUCCAAAGUCAAACCCCCGCUGCAAUUUUUUCCCUCCAUAAUCAUAUAUACCAUCAUAUACCAUUUAAUGUCUCUAGAAUAAAUUUAACAUUGAUGUUCUGGAAUGUUCUGUGAAAAUUCAAAGUUUUGACCUUUUUGCAUUGUUUCCAUGGUAACAACAGAUAUUUUGGAAAUUCCAACGCCAAAUUCCACAUCUUCCAAUGUUGCUCAUCGUUACUGUGAAGUUUCAUUAAGUUUGGAACAUUUUGAGAUUUUUGAAAUUUUUGGAGUAGUUUCCAUGGCAACAUAGUAGUUCCAAUGAGUGCCAAAAAUCAUCCAACACCUGUAUAUAGUGGGCACCUACAUUGUAUCAAAAUAUAAUGAUUCUGAGUUCAAGCAUAUCCAAACAGUUCACCAAAACAAAAAACUGGAUUUUUUCACAUUUGUUUCGUUUCCAUGGCAACGGCAGCCAUCUUGAUGGUGCCAUACCCCACUGCACUAUAGAAUGUGGUGGUCUACAUUAUGGUAUAGUUCCAUCAAUAUUGUUCAAGCCAAUUCCGAGAAAUAGCAUGGACAAAAAAGUGUGGAAGAAUAAAUAUAAUAAGAAAAAAAAGAAACGAACAAUAACAAUAUGUCACCCCAACUCCGUUGAGGGUGCCAUAACUAGAAUUGCCAUUGCAAGCAAUAGCGGAUGUCACCCUUCCCCUAUUGCCACUAAGCGGCAGCCAUUUCAAAAUGGUUUAA
Molecule: long non-coding RNA, 838 nt
Filed under: Mytilus galloprovincialis (Mediterranean mussel)
Lineage: Eukaryota; Metazoa; Mollusca; Bivalvia; Mytilida; Mytilidae
Source: RNAcentral